AUUGAACGCUGGCGGCAUGCCUUACACAUGCAAGUCGAACGGCAGCACGGGAGCAAUCCUGGUGGCGAGUGGCGAACGGGUGAGUAAUAUAUCGGAACGUGCCCAGUCGUGGGGAUAACGUAGCGAAAGCUACGCUAAUACUGCAUACGAUCUAUGGAUGAAAGCGGGGGAUCGCAAGACCUCGCGCGAUUGGAGCGGCCGAUAUCAGAUUAGGUAGUUGGUGAGGUAAAGGCUCACCAAGCCGACGAUCUGUAGCUGGUCUGAGAGGACGACCAGCCACACUGGGACUGAGACACGGCCCAGACUCCUACGGGAGGCAGCAGUGGGGAAUUUUGGACAAUGGGCGCAAGCCUGAUCCAGCAAUGCCGCGUGCAGGAUGAAGGCCUUCGGGUUGUAAACGUUGCUUUUGUACGGUAACGAAACCGGUGGAAGCGUCUAAUACAGUUUGUCUAAUG
RNAcentral lists this ribosomal RNA (455 nucleotides) under uncultured bacterium. RNAcentral's name for it is "bacterial SSU rRNA". It matches the Rfam family "Bacterial small subunit ribosomal RNA", at positions 30 to 484 of the family's 1533-position model. The record is from RNAcentral.